RNAcentral lists this ribosomal RNA (2915 nucleotides) under Enterococcus faecium. RNAcentral's name for it is "23S ribosomal RNA". It matches the Rfam family "Bacterial large subunit ribosomal RNA". The record is from RNAcentral. Lineage: Bacteria; Bacillati; Bacillota; Bacilli; Lactobacillales; Enterococcaceae.
GGUUAAGUGAAUAAGGGCGCACGGUGGAUGCCUUGGCACUAGGAGCCGAUGAAGGACGGGACUAACACCGAUAUGCUUUGGGGAGCUGUACGUAAGCUAUGAUCCAGAGAUUUCCGAAUGGGGGAACCCAACAUCUUUAAUAGGAUGUUACGAUUGUGUGAAUACAUAGCACAUUCGAGGUAGACGCAGAGAACUGAAACAUCUAAGUACCUGCAGGAAGAGAAAGAAAAUUCGAUUCCCUGAGUAGCGGCGAGCGAAACGGGAAAAGCCCAAACCAGCAAGCUUGCUUGUUGGGGUUGUAGGACUCCAAUAUGGUAGUUCUUUCAGAUAGUCGAAUGACUUGGAAAAGUCAGUCAAAGAGGGUAAAAACCCCGUAGACGAAAUGUGGAAGACACCUAGGAGGAUCCUGAGUACGGCGGAACACGAGAAAUUCCGUCGGAAUCCGGGAGGACCAUCUCCCAAGGCUAAAUACUCCCUAGUGACCGAUAGUGAACCAGUACCGUGAGGGAAAGGUGAAAAGCACCCCGGAAGGGGAGUGAAAUAGAACCUGAAACCGUGUGCCUACAACAAGUCAAAGCCCGUUAAUGGGUGAUGGCGUGCCUUUUGUAGAAUGAACCGGCGAGUUACGAUUGCAUGCGAGGUUAAGUUGAAGAGACGGAGCCGCAGCGAAAGCGAGUCUGAAUAGGGCGUUUGAGUAUGUAGUCGUAGACCCGAAACCAUGUGAUCUACCCAUGUCCAGGUUGAAGGUGCGGUAAAACGCACUGGAGGACCGAACCCACGUACGUUGAAAAGUGCGGGGAUGAGGUGUGGGUAGCGGAGAAAUUCCAAACGAACUUGGAGAUAGCUGGUUCUCUCCGAAAUAGCUUUAGGGCUAGCCUCGGAAUUGAGAAUGAUGGAGGUAGAGCACUGUUUGGACUAGGGGCCCAUCUCGGGUUACCGAAUUCAGAUAAACUCCGAAUGCCAUUCAUUCAUAUCCGGGAGUCAGACUGUGAGUGAUAAGAUCCAUAGUCGAAAGGGAAACAGCCCAGACCACCAGCUAAGGUCCCAAAAUAUAUGUUAAGUGGAAAAGGAUGUGGGGUUGCACAGACAACUAGGAUGUUGGCUUAGAAGCAGCCACCAUUUAAAGAGUGCGUAAUAGCUCACUAGUCGAGUGACCCUGCGCCGAAAAUGUACCGGGGCUAAACAUAUUACCGAAGCUGUGGAGUACACCUUUAGGUGUAUUGGUAGGAGAGCGUUCUAAGGGCGUUGAAGGCAGAUCGUGAGGACUGCUGGAGCGCUUAGAGUGUGAGAAUGCCGGUAUGAGUAGCGAAAGACAGGUGAGAAUCCUGUCCACCGAAUGACUAAGGUUUCCUGGGGAAGGCUCGUCCGCCCAGGGUUAGUCGGGACCUAAGCCGAGGCCGACAGGCGUAGGCGAUGGAUAACAGGUUGAUAUUCCUGUACCCGUUGUUUUUGUUUGAGCAAUGGAGGGACGCAGGAGGCUAAGGAAUGCAGACGAUCGGAAAUGUCUGUCCAAGCAGUAAGUCUGAAGAGGAGUCAAAUGCUUCUUUUCUUAAGGACAAGCUGUGAUGGGGAGGGAAAUAAUAGUACCGAAGUUCCUGAUGUCACACUGCCGAGAAAAGCUUCUAGUGAGAAAACAGCGGCCCGUACCGCAAACCGACACAGGUAGUCGAGGAGAGAAUCCUAAGGUGAGCGAGAGAACUCUCGUUAAGGAACUCGGCAAAAUGACCCCGUAACUUCGGGAGAAGGGGUGCUGAUCAUACGAUCAGCCGCAGUGAAUAGGCCCAAGCGACUGUUUAUCAAAAACACAGGUCUCUGCAAAAUCGUAAGAUGAAGUAUAGGGGCUGACGCCUGCCCGGUGCUGGAAGGUUAAGAGGAGUGCUUAGCGCAAGCGAAGGUACGAAUUGAAGCCCCAGUAAACGGCGGCCGUAACUAUAACGGUCCUAAGGUAGCGAAAUUCCUUGUCGGGUAAGUUCCGACCCGCACGAAAGGCGUAACGAUUUGGGCACUGUCUCAACGAGAGACUCGGUGAAAUUUUAGUACCUGUGAAGAUGCAGGUUACCCGCGACAGGACGGAAAGACCCCAUGGAGCUUUACUGUAGUUUGAUAUUGAGUGUCUGUACCGCAUGUACAGGAUAGGUAGGAGCCGUAGAAAUCGGAACGCUAGUUUCGAUGGAGGCGCUGGUGGGAUACUACCCCUGCGUUAUGGCCACUCUAACCCGCACCACUAAUCGUGGUGGGAGACAGUGUCAGAUGGGCAGUUUGACUGGGGCGGUCGCCUCCUAAAGGUAACGGAGGCGCCCAAAGGUUCCCUCAGAAUGGUUGGAAAUCAUUCGAAGAGUGUAAAGGCAGAAGGGAGCUUGACUGCGAGACCAACAAGUCGAGCAGGGACGAAAGUCGGGCUUAGUGAUCCGGUGGUUCCGCAUGGAAGGGCCAUCGCUCAACGGAUAAAAGCUACCCUGGGGAUAACAGGCUUAUCUCCCCCAAGAGUCCACAUCGACGGGGAGGUUUGGCACCUCGAUGUCGGCUCGUCGCAUCCUGGGGCUGUAGUCGGUCCCAAGGGUUGGGCUGUUCGCCCAUUAAAGCGGCACGCGAGCUGGGUUCAGAACGUCGUGAGACAGUUCGGUCCCUAUCCGUCGCGGGCGUUGGAAAUUUGAGAGGAGCUGUCCUUAGUACGAGAGGACCGGGAUGGACUUACCGCUGGUGUACCAGUUGUUCUGCCAAGGGCAUUGCUGGGUAGCUAUGUAGGGAAGGGAUAAACGCUGAAAGCAUCUAAGUGUGAAGCCCACCUCAAGAUGAGAUUUCCCAUUUCUUUAAGAAAGUAAGAUCCCUGAGAGAUGAUCAGGUAGAUAGGUCAGGAGUGGAAGUACAGUGAUGUAUGGAGCGGACUGAUACUAAUCGAUCGAGGACUUAACCAA